Molecule: unclassified non-coding RNA, 332 nt
Filed under: soil metagenome
Description: partial contains 5.8S ribosomal RNA, internal transcribed spacer 2, and large subunit ribosomal RNA
Rfam family: 5.8S ribosomal RNA (bases 5-121)
Source: RNAcentral
GAUGGAAGAACGCAGCGAAAUGCGAUAAGUAAUGUGAAUUGCAGAAUUCAGUGAAUCAUCGAAUCUUUGAACGCACAUUGCGCCCCCUGGUAUUCCGGGGGGCAUGCCUGUUCGAGCGUCAUUUCACCACUCAAGCCUCGCUUGGUAUUGGGCAACGCGGUCCGCCGCGUGCCUCAAAUCGACCGGCUGGGUCUUCUGUCCCCUAAGCGUUGUGGAAACUAUUCGCUAAAGGGUGUUCGGGAGGCUACGCCGUAAAACAACCCCAUUUCUAAGGUUGACCUCGGAUCAGGUAGGGAUACCCGCUGAACUUAAGCAUAUCAAUAAGCGGAGGA